This 459-nucleotide ribosomal RNA is filed under the name uncultured bacterium. RNAcentral describes it as "partial 16S ribosomal RNA". It matches the Rfam family "Bacterial small subunit ribosomal RNA", at positions 338 to 795 of the family's 1533-position model. The record is from RNAcentral.
CCUACGGGAGGCAGCAGUGAGGAAUAUUGGUCAAUGGCCGGGAGGCUGAACCAGCCAAGUCGCGUGAGGGAAGACGGCCCUACGGGUUGUAAACCUCUUUUGUCAGGGAGCAAGGUGCAGGUCGGGACCUGCUGUGAGAGUACCUGAAGAAAAAGCAUCGGCGAACUCCGUGCCAGCAGCCGCGGUAAUACGGAGGAUGCGAGCGUUAUCCGGAUUUAUUGGGUUUAAAGGGUGAGCAGGCGGAGGCACAAGUCAGCGGGAAAAUCGCGGGGCGCAACCCCGAUCCGCCGUUGAAACUGUGUCCCUUGGGUGCGCGAAGGGUAGGCGGAAUGCGUGGUGUAGCGGUGAAAUGCAUAGAUAUCACGCAGAACUCCGAUCGCGAAGGCAGCCUACCGGCGCGCAACUGACGCUCAUGCACGAAAGCGUGGGUAUCGAACAGGAUUAGAUACCCCAGUAGUC